Molecule: ribosomal RNA, 468 nt
Filed under: uncultured bacterium
Lineage: Bacteria
Description: partial 16S ribosomal RNA
Rfam family: Bacterial small subunit ribosomal RNA
Source: RNAcentral
GAUGAACGCUGGCGGCGUGCUUAACACAUGCAAGUCGAACGGAAAGGCCCAAGCUUGCUUGGGUCCUCGAGUGGCGAACGGGUGAGUAACACGUGGGUGAUCUGCCCUGCACUUCGGGAUAAGCCUGGGAAACUGGGUUUAAUACCGGAUAGGACGAUGGUUUGGAUGCCAUUGUGGAAAGUUUUUUCGGUGUGGGAUGAGCUCGCGGCCUAUCAGCUUGUUGGUGGGGUAAUGGCCUACCAAGGCGUCGACGGGUAGCCGGCCUGAGAGGGUGUACGGCCACAUUGGGACUGAGAUACGGCCCAGACUCCUACGGGAGGCAGCAGUGGGGAAUAUUGCACAAUGGGCGCAAGCCUGAUGCAGCGACGCCGCGUGGGGGAUGACGGCCUUCGGGUUGUAAACUCCUUUCGCUAGGGACGAAGCGUUUUUGUGACGGUACCUGGAGAAGAAGCACCGGCUAACUACGUG